This 73-nucleotide transfer RNA is filed under the name Pythium arrhenomanes ATCC 12531. RNAcentral's name for it is "tRNA-Val for anticodon AAC". It matches the Rfam family "tRNA". Rfam says of the family: Transfer RNA (tRNA) molecules are approximately 80 nucleotides in length. Their secondary structure includes four short double-helical elements and three loops (D, anti-codon, and T loops). The record is from RNAcentral. Lineage: Eukaryota; Oomycota; Peronosporomycetes; Pythiales; Pythiaceae.
GGAUAAUUAACUCAAUUGGUAGAGUAUUUCGUUUACACCGAAAAUGUUAGCGGUUCGAGUCCGUUAUUAUUCA